RNAcentral lists this long non-coding RNA (239 nucleotides) under Dasypus novemcinctus (nine-banded armadillo). Its description in RNAcentral is "lncRNA (ENSDNOG00000052734.1)". The record is from RNAcentral. Lineage: Eukaryota; Metazoa; Chordata; Mammalia; Cingulata; Dasypodidae.
AUUUCAUGUGCAUAUGUAUAAUCUAAUUUAUGCUGCAUCUUUUUUCUUUUAAGAAAAUUUUCAGUGACUUGUUUUAAAUUCCUACUUAUUUCCUUAUAGAGUCCAAAAUGCAAACAUCUAUUCUUCCUGAGAUGUUUAGGCAACCAUCACAGGGAGUGGUCCUGUGUAUUGCCAAAGCCCCAGGUGAGACUCUAUUUAGCUCCUAUACAGAUUUAUAACAUUCUUACCACUUAGGGAAU